UNGGGCCUCUCCUUUUAGGAUGCAUUGUG
This 29-nucleotide non-coding RNA is filed under the name Mus musculus (house mouse). The record is from RNAcentral. Lineage: Eukaryota; Metazoa; Chordata; Mammalia; Rodentia; Muridae.